UGUAUAAUGGGUCAGCGACUUAUAUUCUGUAGCAAGGUUAACCGAAUAGGGGAGCCGAAGGGAAACCGAGUCUUAACUGGGCGUUAAGUUGCAGGGUAUAGACCCGAAACCCGGUGAUCUAGCCAUGGGCAGGUUGAAGGUUGGGUAACACUAACUGGAGGACCGAACCGACUAAUGUUGAAAAAUUAGCGGAUGACUUGUGGCUGGGGGUGAAAGGCCAAUCAAACCGGGAGAUAGCUGGUUCUCCCCGAAAGCUAUUUAGGUAGCGCCUCGUGAAUUCAUCUCCGGGGGUAGAGCACUGUUUCGGCAAGGGGGUCAUCCCGACUUACCAACCCGAUGCAAACUGCGAAUACCGGAGAAUGUUAUCACGGGAGACACACGGCGGGUGCUAACGUCCGUCGUGAAGAGGGAAACAACCCAGACCGCCAGCUAAGGUCCCAAAGUCAUGGUUAAGUGGGAAACGAUGUGGGAAGGCCCAGACAGCCAGGAUGUUGGCUUAGAAGCAGCCAUCAUUUAAAGAAAGCGUAAUAGCUCACUGGUCGAGUCGGCCUGCGCGGAAGAUGUAACGGGGCUAAACCAUGCACCGAAGCUGCGGCAGCGACGCUUAUGCGUUGUUGGGUAGGGGAGCGUUCUGUAAGCCUGUGAAGGUGUACUGUGAGGUAUGCUGGAGGUAUCAGAAGUGCGAAUGCUGACAUAAGUAACGAUAAAGCGGGUGAAAAGCCCGCUCGCCGGAAGACCAAGGGUUCCUGUCCAACGUUAAUCGGGGCAGGGUGAGUCGACCCCUAAGGCGAGGCCGAAAGGCGUAGUCGAUGGGAAACAGGUUAAUAUUCCUGUACUUGGUGUUACUGCGAAGGGGGGACGGAGAAGGCUAUGUUGGCCGGGCGACGGUUGUCCCGGUUUAAGCGUGUAGGCUGGUUUUCCAGGCAAAUCCGGAAAAUCAAGGCUGAGGCGUGAUGACGAGGCACUACGGUGCUGAAGCAACAAAUGCCCUGCUUCCAGGAAAAGCCUCUAAGCAUCAGGUAACAUCAAAUCGUACCCCAAACCGACACAGGUGGUCAGGUAGAGAAUACCAAGGCGCUUGAGAGAACUCGGGUGAAGGAACUAGGCAAAAUGGUGCCGUAACUUCGGGAGAAGGCACGCUGAUAUGUAGGUGAAGCGACUUGCUCGUGGAGCUGAAAUCAGUCGAAGAUACCAGCUGGCUGCAACUGUUUAUUAAAAACACAGCACUGUGCAAACACGAAAGUGGACGUAUACGGUGUGACGCCUGCCCGGUGCCGGAAGGUUAAUUGAUGGGGUUAGCGGUAACGCGAAGCUCUUGAUCGAAGCCCCGGUAAACGGCGGCCGUAACUAUAACGGUCCUAAGGUAGCGAAAUUCCUUGUCGGGUAAGUUCCGACCUGCACGAAUGGCGUAAUGAUGGCCAGGCUGUCUCCACCCGAGACUCAGUGAAAUUGAACUCGCUGUGAAGAUGCAGUGUACCCGCGGCAAGACGGAAAGACCCCGUGAACCUUUACUAUAGCUUGACACUGAACAUUGAGCCUUGAUGUGUAGGAUAGGUGGGAGGCUUUGAAGUGUGGACGCCAGUCUGCAUGGAGCCGGCCUUGAAAUACCACCCUUUAAUGUUUGAUGUUCUAACGUUGGCCCGUAAUCCGGGUUGCGGACAGUGUCUGGUGGGUAGUUUGACUGGGGCGGUCUCCUCCUAAAGAGUAACGGAGGAGCACGAAGGUUGGCUAAUCCUGGUCGGACAUCAGGAGGUUAGUGCAAUGGCAUAAGCCAGCUUGACUGCGAGCGUGACGGCGCGAGCAGGUGCGAAAGCAGGUCAUAGUGAUCCGGUGGUUCUGAAUGGAAGGGCCAUCGCUCAACGGAUAAAAGGUACUCCGGGGAUAACAGGCUGAUACCGCCCAAGAGUUCAUAUCGACGGCGGUGUUUGGCACCUCGAUGUCGGCUCAUCACAUCCUGGGGCUGAAGUAGGUCCCAAGGGUAUGGCUGUUCGCCAUUUAAAGUGGUACGCGAGCUGGGUUUAGAACGUCGUGAGACAGUUCGGUCCCUAUCUGCCGUGGGCGCUGGAGAACUGAGGGGGGCUGCUCCUAGUACGAGAGGACCGGAGUGGACGCAUCACUGGUGUUCGGGUUGUCAUGCCAAUGGCACUGCCCGGUAGCUAAAUGCGGAAGAGAUAAGUGCUGAAAGCAUCUAAGCACGAAACUUGCCCCGAGAUGAGUUCUCCCUGAGACUUUAAGUCUCCUGAAGGAACGUUGAAGACGACGACGUUGAUAGGCCGGGUGUGUAAGCGCAGCGAUGCGUUGAGCUAACCGGUACUAAUGAACCGUGAGG
This 2329-nucleotide ribosomal RNA is filed under the name Escherichia coli. Its description in RNAcentral is "partial 23S ribosomal RNA". It matches the Rfam family "Bacterial large subunit ribosomal RNA", at positions 609 to 2915 of the family's 2925-position model. The record is from RNAcentral. Lineage: Bacteria; Pseudomonadati; Pseudomonadota; Gammaproteobacteria; Enterobacterales; Enterobacteriaceae.